CAUUGUGUGUUUGUGUUCUAAAUUUUGACUUGUAAGUCAAUUUAAUAUGAGAUGGUCAAUAUAAUGUUCAUUUUUUAAUAUUGUUGGAGUGAUUAUGAAUUGGCAUUACGAAUAAUGGUUAAUGUAUCUUGUUUUUUUAUUCUUUUUCAGUAAAGAUCUUGUUUUGUUAUUCAUUUGACUUAUUUGCGCUAUAAAGUGAUGGAUUCUGC
RNAcentral lists this long non-coding RNA (209 nucleotides) under Brassica napus (rape). RNAcentral's name for it is "long non-coding RNA (BNAP_LNC000723)". Lineage: Eukaryota; Viridiplantae; Streptophyta; Magnoliopsida; Brassicales; Brassicaceae. The record is from RNAcentral.